RNAcentral lists this ribosomal RNA (519 nucleotides) under Triticum aestivum (bread wheat). Its description in RNAcentral is "partial small subunit ribosomal RNA". The record is from RNAcentral. Lineage: Eukaryota; Viridiplantae; Streptophyta; Magnoliopsida; Poales; Poaceae.
AUGGCCUUCAAUCCCGCGAGCUCUCGAGGCAUCAGCCUCCCAUCCGUGAGAUCCGGCGACGCCGGCCAUCGAGACCCGCUGCUCUGCCAUCGCCUCCUUGCCGCUGGCAUCCCGAGGCCCUUGUGCUAUUUUGUGUUGGAUGUCAAGGCCACCAAGUUCGACUACAGGGAUUCGCCAACGCUCGGCCUCCUGCCCGAGUCCAGGCCGCCGUCGCGCCUUCUUGCCCUGCCUCCAUCAUCGUCCACUCCCUUCCUCUGCCCCGCUGCCGCUGCCUCCGCUUCGCCUGAUCUGCGCCUGCUUCGCCUCGAACAACAGCAACCAACUUCAGCUCCGAUGGCUUUCGAUCCCGCGAGCUCUCGAGGCAUCAGCCUUCCAUCCGCGAGAUCCGGCGACGCCGGCCACCUUGACCCGCUGCUCUGCCAUCGCCUCCUUGCUGUUGGCAUCCCGAGGCCCUUGUGCUAUUUUGUGUUGGACGUCAAGGCCACCAAGUUCGACUACGGGGAUUCGCCAAGUACCAUU